GCCCCUGUGGCUCAGUAGCCUAGCCCUUUUAUAAUCUAAUAUUUAUCUAAUGUAAAAAGGGCUAAGGCCUCACCCCAAAACAGAACUUUCUUGUUUGGGAGCUCGACCUUUUUGACAUUAGGGGUCGAAAUGAGCAAUGGUAGAGCGUGCGAUUGGUAAUCGCAAGGUCGCGAGUUCAAUUCUCGCCGGGGGCU
This 194-nucleotide transfer RNA is filed under the name Microcaldota archaeon. RNAcentral describes it as "tRNA-Thr". The stretch from base 132 to 186 matches the Rfam family "tRNA", at positions 10 to 63 of the family's 71-position model. The record is from RNAcentral. Lineage: Archaea; Nanobdellati; Microcaldota.